RNAcentral lists this ribosomal RNA (279 nucleotides) under uncultured bacterium. RNAcentral describes it as "partial 16S ribosomal RNA". It matches the Rfam family "Bacterial small subunit ribosomal RNA", at positions 506 to 784 of the family's 1533-position model. The record is from RNAcentral.
UGCCAGCCGCCGCGGUAAUACAGAGAUGGCAACCGUUGUUCGGAAUCACUGGGCUUAAAGCGCACGUAGGCGGGUAGAUAAGUUGAUUGUGAAAGCCCAUGGCUUACCCAUGGAAUAGCAGUCAAAACUGUCAACCUAGAGAGCAGGAGGGGAGAGUGGAACUCCUAGUGGAGCGGUGAAAUGCGUUGAUAUUAGGAGGAACACCGAUGGCGAAAGCGACUCUCUGGUCUGAUACUGACGCUGAGGUGCGAAAGCUAGCGGAGCAAACGGGAUUAGAAA